RNAcentral lists this ribosomal RNA (771 nucleotides) under uncultured bacterium. Its description in RNAcentral is "bacterial SSU rRNA". It matches the Rfam family "Bacterial small subunit ribosomal RNA", at positions 56 to 799 of the family's 1533-position model. The record is from RNAcentral.
UGCAAGUCGAACGGACAGACAGAGAGCUUGCUCUCUUGAAGUUAGUGGCGAACGGGUGAGUAACGCGUAAUCAACCUGCCCUUCAGAGGGGGAUAACAACGGGAAACCGUUGCUAAUACCGCGUACGAUUCACGAGCGGCAUCGCUUGUGAAUGAAAGGUGGCCUCUAUUUAUAAGCUAUCACUGAAGGAGGGGAUUGCGUCUGAUUAGCUAGUUGGAGGGGUAACGGCCCACCAAGGCAAUGAUCAGUAGCCGGUCUGAGAGGAUGAACGGCCACAUUGGGACUGAGACACGGCCCAAACUCCUACGGGAGGCAGCAGUGGGGAAUCUUCCGCAAUGGACGAAAGUCUGACGGAGCAACGCCGCGUGAGUGAUGAAGGUCUUCGGAUUGUAAAGCUCUGUUAAUCGGGACGAAAGAGUUCUGUGUGAAUAAUGCAGAAAAGUGACGGUACCGGAAUAGAAAGCCACGGCUAACUACGUGCCAGCAGCCGCGGUAAUACGUAGGUGGCAAGCGUUGUCCGGAAUUAUUGGGCGUAAAGCGCGCGCAGGCGGCCUAUCCAGUCUGUCUUAAAAGUUCGGGGCUCAACCCCGUGAUGGGAUGGAAACUAGUAGGCUAGAGUAUCGGAGAGGAAAGCGGAAUUCCUAGUGUAGCGGUGAAAUGCGUAGAUAUUAGGAAGAACACCAGUGGCGAAGGCGGCUUUCUGGACGAAAACUGACGCUGAGGCGCGAAAGCCAGGGGAGCGAACGGGAUUAGAUACCCCGGUAGUCCUGG